AUUGAACGCUGGCGGCAGGCCUAACACAUGCAAGUCGAACGGUAACAGGAAGAAGCUUGCUUCUUUGCUGACGAGUGGCGGACGGGUGAGUAAUGUCUGGGAAACUGCCUGAUGGAGGGGGAUAACUACUGGAAACGGUAGCUAAUACCGCAUAACGUCGCAAGACCAAAGAGGGGGACCUUCGGGCCUCUUGCCAUCGGAUGUGCCCAGAUGGGAUUAGCUAGUAGGUGGGGUAACGGCUCACCUAGGCGACGAUCCCUAGCUGGUCUGAGAGGAUGACCAGCCAAACUGGAACUGGACCACGGUCCAGACUCCUACGGGAGGCAGCAGUGGGGAAUAUUGGACAAUGGGCGCAAGCCUGAUGCAGCCAUGCCGCGUGUAUGAAGAAGGCCUUCGGGUUGUAAAGUACGUUCAGCGGGGAGGAAGGGAGUAAAGUUAAUACCUUUGCUCAUUGACGUUACCCGCAGAAGAAGCACCGGCUAACUCCGUG
This 490-nucleotide ribosomal RNA is filed under the name uncultured bacterium. RNAcentral's name for it is "partial 16S ribosomal RNA". It matches the Rfam family "Bacterial small subunit ribosomal RNA", at positions 30 to 507 of the family's 1533-position model. The record is from RNAcentral.